CCUACGGGAGGCAGCAGUGGGGGAUAUUGCACAAUGGGCGCAAGCCUGAUGCAGCGACGCCGCGUGGGUGAAGAAGUACCUCGGUACGUAAAGCCCUAUCAGCAGGGAAGAAAAUGACGGUACCUGACUAAGAAGCUCCGGCUAAAUACGUGCCAGCAGCCGCGGUAAUACGUAGGGGGCAAGCGUUAUCCGGAUUUACUGGGUGUAAAGGGAGCGUAGACGGCAGUGCAAGUCUGGAGUGAAAGGCGGGGGCUCAACCCCCGGACUGCUCUGGAA
RNAcentral lists this ribosomal RNA (276 nucleotides) under uncultured bacterium. Its description in RNAcentral is "partial 16S ribosomal RNA". It matches the Rfam family "Bacterial small subunit ribosomal RNA", at positions 338 to 631 of the family's 1533-position model. The record is from RNAcentral.